UACAGAGGUCUCAAGCGUUGUUCGGAUUCAUUGGGCGUAAAGGGUGCGUAGGCGGCGCGGUAAGUCGGGUGUGAAAUCUCGGAGCUUAACUCCGAAACUGCAUUCGAUACUGCCGUGCUUGAGGACUGGAGAGGAGACUGGAAUUCAUGGUGUAGCAGUGAAAUGCGUAGAGAUCAUGAGGAAGACCAGUGGCGAAGGCGGGUCUCUGGACAGUUCCUGACACUGAGACACGAAGGCCAGGGGAGCAGACGGG
This 253-nucleotide ribosomal RNA is filed under the name uncultured bacterium. Its description in RNAcentral is "partial 16S ribosomal RNA". It matches the Rfam family "Bacterial small subunit ribosomal RNA", at positions 524 to 776 of the family's 1533-position model. The record is from RNAcentral.